GGUUCAAAUAUGUUCUUGAAUUCUUUGUUGUCUUCUAAUAUACUGGGCAUUAUUCAGAUACAGAAUCAAAUGGAAGCUUGUUUAAUAUGUUUGAAUAUUCAGAAUUUCAGGGUAUAUUCUGCAUCUCAUUGUUACACAUUAAGUGAGGUCAUGAUGCCUUGUAUUAACCUAAUCUGGACUGGUAGAGGGGUCAGUAAAUAGCAUCUAGGACAUCCAGAUAGUAUUUUGAAGGCCAAACCACUGAAGUUGUCAGGCUUCAGCCAUAGCAAAGGAGAAAGGUGGUUAAUUGGCAAAGUGUUUAUAGAGUGAAAUUUCAGGCUUCUGUAGGGGUUGACUGACAGUUCUUAAAAGCUCCCUCUCACUGAGCUGGAUACACUGCCUGCCAGUCAAGAUCUGCCAGAUCCUGGCCGAUUGGCUGCUUGCCUUCUACCUCUGGCAGUGAAACCGGAAAAAGAAGAAUAGCUUGAUGCAACAUUGGCACUGUUAAGCUUUGAGCUGCUUUCUGCAAAAAGGACAGCUUGAGUCUUGUGUAAUGUGUUUUGUUUUUUUAAACAAGAAAAAUGGAAAGUGAUUAAUGUUAAAUGUAAAAAGAACAAAAGAGAAUAAAAAUAAGGACAGGUUCCUUCAGCCUAUCAGGGUAUCAGUAAUUUACAAAUCAGUGAUUGGUCCAAAAACUUGAAUGGAUUUCAUAGAGCCCCCAUUUUGACUGUCUUAAAAAUGUGGCCUAGCAAUUAGCUAAAAUCAUUAAUCAUUUAUGAAUGUCUUGGUUCAAAACAAUUCCAUUAUGUUUUGUAUCAACUAAAAAUAGACAAUGUACUAAAGUAAAGCUUGUUCACAUAAUAAAGAUUUCAUUUCCUGUUUGUUUGCGAGGGUUAACCUAUAAGGUGGCUAACUGGAGUCUUUAUUAGGCAUGGACACAUCAUGGUUCAUACUUGUAUUAGAAAGAGAGGGGCUUGAUUGCUUGAGUUUUGCAGAAACAAUGGCCACAAAUGGGAGUGUGAUAUAAGAGAAGCAUAAGCAAGUAUUUUGUCCAGAGUUGCUACCUGAGGCCUCAGCACAAUGAGAGUAGAAGUAGAAGCUGAAGAUAGACACAGUUUCACUAGCACGUUAAUUUAGCAGAACUCUUAUAUAAAAAAAAAAAAAAAAGAAAAAAUUGAGCCAACAUUUGCAUUGUUUUAAAAUCUACAAUAUUGCGGGGGCGAUAUAUUACUGUAUGCAGAAUCCUAUAUCUGUCACUGUAUCAUAGAGACCCAAGGAUCAAUGUUUAGCAGCCAAACAUAAGACUAAAAAGCCUACAAAAUAACAAUGAAUGAAUGAAUCUUUUGCCAAUUAAACAAUUAAGAUGCAAGAUGUGGAAAUAUAACUGGAUGUGGGUUUUUUUUGUAUUUCCAACAGUUCUUUAAUGCUGAAAGGCAAGCUUUAAUUUAAAUAUUUGUAUAAUUGUAAAAGCAUGAAGUCUCAGAAUGCCAUAUGACAUGAGAUUCCACUGGUAAUUAUGUUUUAUUUCUAUACUAUAUAUAAGAAAUUCCGGUUGGGUAGGUUGUUGAAAUAUGAGACUUUUAAUUACCAGUCUUUCCUGAGUUUAUGUAGCUAUUGCAAGUCUUUGCUUAGAGAAAAUAUUCUUUUAAUCCCCUUUUCCUAAAGUGAGGGUGUUAAAAUAGGAGUUGGCACACAUAAAUAGAAGAGAAACUUCCCAGAGGGGGCUGAUUAUCUGCAAGAUGUCCGGAGGCUGAAAUUUCCAUUGUGUUAAAAGCAGUAUGAUAGAGAAUCUCCCAGAGCUUGCACCCCGGGGCGCCUGACUGGCUGAAAAAAAUUUGCUGGUGGUGACUGGCUGGAAGCGUUAAGUAUCAUGUAGUCUCUGCAGGAAACCAACACGGAAGUGGCGUCCUCAGGUUUGAUGCUGUUGGCACUCUAGCUAGGUAUUAAGGAUGAAUCUACUGUAGCAAAGAGAAUUAUUAUACUUCAUUAAAUUGCUUUUGGCUGCAACUCAGUCAUUUUUGAGGAAAAACAAAACCCAACAUAACUUUUUUUUCUUCUUUGGAAGCACAGGUAUGAAAAGUGGAGGGUCCCUUCCCUAACCCUGAACAUCCUUUGAGUGUACAACCGUAAAAGGCCUGACUCAUCAUGAAGAUUCAUUCAGAGAUGAAGCCAUCAGACUGCGGAUUUCUCAUAAGAAGCAGAAUUAGAUGUCUGGGUGUCUUUGAUGCAUCACUCCUGCUGUAACAGAUCCUUCAUAAACAUAGAAAACUGAAUAACAUACUGUAAAUAACCUAAAGACAUUAUGCUUAGAAAUGUGCAUCUACUGUGGUUUGGCUCAUUCUUAUUUUGGAUGCUUAAACAUCGCCUGUAGAGUGCAAGUUUUCUUGCAAUUCUAUUCUUGGACUACUAGAGGUUGUCUCUUACAGAUUAAAGGUACAGAAAUUCUAAAACCAUUUUAUGCCUUCAUUCAUGAAACAACAUAUGCGGUUUCUGGAUUUAUCAGUAUGACACUGGGCUGACAUAAACUAGUAGUGGGAAAGUAGCGUGAAGUCUUAAUUGAAAAUGUCUCUAAAAUGAGUCCACACACUGCUAGAGGUUGUAACCUUGUGCUGAUUACAGCGCGUUGCCCCACCCCGAGUGCAGAUGUGCAACGGGUGACAUCAUAGCACGGUACUAGUCCAAAUGGAACAGAACAGUGCCAAUCCUGCCACCAACUCCCACGUUUUCCCUGCAAGUUUUAGGACCUGCUUGAAGUGCUGGGUUCCGGUUAACUGAAGCUCACCCAGAAUUGCCUUCAUUACAUCCACAGUGAAAGGAAAAUACUAUAUAUUACAAAGUGAAAAAAUGAAUAAAUAUGAUACCGUACUUAAGUUGAAAUAGUGUAAAAUACUGAGUGUUGAACCAGCAAGUCAUAAACCACCCGUUUCACUGCUGCUUAAGUUUAUAAAGUUAUGCUGCAUUUGGAGUUAGAUAUACAUGACCCUAAAACUCUAAAUGUGUUGUGAUCGUCAGAUCUGUCUAACACUCGGCCUUUCUGGAAGUGGCUUGGAUGGGUCUAUCUGUUCCAGUAGUGUGUGCUUCUAGGGGGACCUGCUAAACACUAAUAAGUAACGCAUGCUAAGGGGAUGCAGACAGAUCAGCUGCUGGCUUGCUGCUGCCAAGCUGUGUGUUCUGCUUGUCGCACUGCGCAUCAAUCAUUUAAAAGCCUGUACAGCAGCUGUCCUUUUGUCUCACUGCUUUGUCUCACAGGACGUCAAAGUGUCUUCCGAGAAGAUCACGUCUCAACCCAAGUUUUUCUUAUUAUAAUGCAGAGAUUUAUUUAUUUAAAGAGCUUCUGUAAAAAGCAAACUUUCCCCACUUGGGAAAAAUAAAGAUCAUCUAUCUAUCUAUCUGUAUGCCUGUCUGUCUAUCUAGUGCAUUUCAUAUCUAUCUAUCUAUCGUGAAAAGGUGCUAUAUAUGUGCACGACCCGACACAGACUGGACACGGAGGCACACGUAAAAUAAAUAUUUAUUUUUUCUUCGUGUCCCCCAGGCAGUACACAGUCCCAAGCACAACACACCAAAUAAAACACACAGCAAAGCACUCUUUUCUUCUUCCACCACUCCUCCCAGGCAACCUCGUCCUCCUCCUCUCGAUUCUGGCUCCCAGAGUGGUGGCUGCUGGCACCUUUUAUAGUUCACCCGGAAGUACUCCAGGUGCUUGAUUGCCGAGUUCUGGCUGCACUUCCGGGUGUGGUGAAAACACUGCCCAUAAGGGCUCAGGAGCUACAGCUGCAGCACCCCCUGGUGGUGCCUGCGGGACCCAACAGGGCUACACUCAAUUCCAAUUCCCAUGGAGCUCUACGGGAAACUGAGGCACCGCUCCUUCCCAGGGGGGCAGCCAUCUAGCGUCUAGGGGGAGGUAUUGCACCGUACAGGGCUGCUCCCUACUGCAUAUAGAGUGAAGGGGCAUGGACCCUAUCUAUCUAUCUAUCUAUCUAUCUAUCUAUCUAUCUAUCUAUCUAUCUAUCUAUCUAUCUAUCUAUCUAUCUAUCUAUCUAUCUAUCUAUCUAUCUAUCUAUCUAUCUAUCUAAAUAAAUUGGGGCAGCAGAUUUGAACUGGUAAGCAAAAAGUUUUUAUUUUUUUGAUUCAUUAUCAAUUUUACAAAAUAUUUCCAGAAAUUGUUUUUAUAAUAAAAAAGAGUUUAGUUAAAUUUACUGUUUGCCAAUUAAACAUUAAUGAAGGGGAAAAAAGGCUGCCUAUUUUUGUAGGCCAUAAGAUUAAAGAGUAAAAAAUGUAUUUAAAAAAUGGAAAGUGGGCUUUUGUUAUGUAUUACAUUUUUUCAUAAUUGUUAAUGAGCACUUCACUUCUUACUGUACAAUAAUAUUUAAAAUGUAUGCAUUCUUAAUCAAUAAAAAAAAAAUCACUAAAUGCUUGUAUUUUGGGUUGGCUUCCAAUUGCAGAGGUCUUAGACGGUAAGUGUCAGAACGGCCAUGCUGCACUAAUCACUACCUUUGGCUUCUUGUGUGGAAAAAAACUCAUUUAAGCAGGGACCACCUGUGUAGCUGGGAUGUGCUGUGCUUCUCAGGCCUGCGUGUGGUUGCAUUUGAGUCCAGUAAGACCCAAGCUGUUCUACAUGGUGGUGUGUAAUGACGUCUGGUACUGAUAACUCAGUAUAAAAUAAAGAUGAGCUAAGUGUUAUUUUGA
This is a long non-coding RNA of Erpetoichthys calabaricus (reedfish), 4665 nucleotides long. RefSeq lists it as uncharacterized. NCBI's taxonomy places the organism in Eukaryota, Metazoa, Chordata, Cladistia, Polypteriformes, Polypteridae. The record is from RefSeq and is a predicted model, not a curated record. The transcript has 3 exons.